AUCACCCAAGAGCUCGUUAAACUGCAAAUUCUGAUUCUGUAGUGCGAGGCCUGAGAUUUUGCAUUUUUAACUAGUUCUCAGGUGAUGCUGU
RNAcentral lists this microRNA precursor (91 nucleotides) under Camelus bactrianus (Bactrian camel). RNAcentral describes it as "mir-544 microRNA precursor family". It matches the Rfam family "mir-544 microRNA precursor family". RNAcentral also lists the same sequence under 1 other name. Lineage: Eukaryota; Metazoa; Chordata; Mammalia; Artiodactyla; Camelidae. The record is from Rfam by way of RNAcentral.